GUGCCAGCAGCCGCGGUAAGACAGAGGUGCCAAGCGUUAGGCGGAAUCACUGGGCUUAAAGCGUGUGUAGGCGGAUUGGUAAGUACCUUGUGAAAUCCCACAGCUCAACUGUGGAACUGCUCGGUAUACUGCUUAUCUUGAGCCACUUAGGGGCUGUCGGAACAAAUGGUGGAGCGGUGAAAUGCGUAGAUAUCAUUUGGAACGCCAAAGGUGAAAACAGACAGCUGGGAGUGUGCUGACGCUGAGACACGAAAGCCAGGGGAGCGAACGGGAUUAGAAACCCUAGUAGUCC
This 292-nucleotide ribosomal RNA is filed under the name uncultured bacterium. Its description in RNAcentral is "partial 16S ribosomal RNA". It matches the Rfam family "Bacterial small subunit ribosomal RNA", at positions 505 to 796 of the family's 1533-position model. The record is from RNAcentral.